GGCAUCCCAUCUUCCCAUACGUUUGAGUUGAGGGUGAUUUGUUCUACAAUAAGGAACAAGAAGAAAGGCUACAGUUCAAACGUUGAGAUCAUGGUCCAAGAUCAAAAGUUGAUCAAAGGUCCAAAGACUGAGAUUUAUCUUGGAGAAGAUGGAUCUCUAAUGAGAAGAAAAAUUUAAGAUUGAUCUCGAUGGAUACCUGUAA
Molecule: long non-coding RNA, 202 nt
Filed under: Elaeis guineensis (African oil palm)
Lineage: Eukaryota; Viridiplantae; Streptophyta; Magnoliopsida; Arecales; Arecaceae
Description: long non-coding RNA (EGUI_LNC043263)
Source: RNAcentral